AGCCGUGAACUUAUAACAAAGCAUGGCACUGAAGAUGCCAAGAUGGCUACCGACCAUAGCCCGU
Molecule: transfer RNA, 64 nt
Filed under: Aquila chrysaetos (golden eagle)
Lineage: Eukaryota; Metazoa; Chordata; Aves; Accipitriformes; Accipitridae
Description: tRNA-Phe
Source: RNAcentral